This 757-nucleotide long non-coding RNA is filed under the name Bos taurus (domestic cattle). RNAcentral's name for it is "long non-coding RNA NONBTAT015610". Lineage: Eukaryota; Metazoa; Chordata; Mammalia; Artiodactyla; Bovidae. The record is from RNAcentral.
CCAAAUUAUAAAUCCCUAAUAGUUAAGUGAAGUUUCACGUCACUAGUGUGCCCAGCACAGAGAGGUGUGUGUGGUGCCCGUGGGUGUGUGCUUGUAUUGUGUAGAUGUUCUGGAAUCACUGCUCUAGAGAAGAUGCACAUUAAUAGAGUCACCACUUAGUAAUAGGUACCCAGGGUUGAUCAUUAUAUCAAAGCAUGAUUCAGGAAAGUAGAUGAUUUACUAUAAGUAUUAAUUAAGCACGGUUAUGUGUAAGGCUAUGUUCCUAGGCACAGUGAGGGAUAUAGAAAUGAAAAAAGGCUUGGUGUCUGUGCUCAAGAAACGUGCAACAUGGUGAACGAACUAUUGCAGCAAAAGAUAAUGCCAAUUACAUUCAUGUCCGUUAUGGAACAUUAUUUGUUCAUUAAUGAAAGAGCCACCUUCUCUUGCAGAAGAGUUUUUCUCAAUGCCUAAAAUCAUAUUCUCUACCUCCGUCUCUUAAACUUCCCCAGUGGCCAGAAAGGCUCAGGAACCAUUCCUUCUCCAGGUGGAAUAAUCCAAUUCUGUCUGUCAUGUCUGGGAUCAUGCCGAGGUGGAAUUUGGGUCCCCUUACCUAUUCUCAGUUGUAAGUGGGCAUUUGGACUUGUAUUAAAUUAACUGAAUGAACUUUGCUUCUAUAGAAGGAGACAGUCCUGCCCACCAUCUUAGACCAAGGCUGUUUGUAUUUUGUCUUUUUUCAGGUGGACAUGAAAGUCAAAAGUGAAGUCACACUCUGAUUACU